CUUCUCUUCAGUGUCUGAUCAGCAGGCAGCGUGCUGUCAUUGUAAGAUCUGACAAACUUGAAGUCACUGGUGCGUGAGCCGGUUGUCAGGUAUGCAUCAUAGUUAUAAGAACUACGGAGAGUUCCAGCUCCAUCCACCUCUGCAUAGUUGGGAGGGAAAUAAGCGCUGGGAAUGGCGACUGCUCCAUCAAACAACAUUCUAGGUUUUCUACUGCGGCAGAACCUCACGGCCAGGAUGAGAAUAAUGAAAGUCAGGAAAAAGGUGGAGAUAGAGACCAGUGCGAUGAUCAAAUAGGAAGUUAGUUUGGAACUAUCCUCAUAAGCCAUGUCUUUCAGUUCUGGAAUUUCAGCCAAGUUAUCUGAUAUGAGCAAAUAUACAUCACAGGUUGUAGAGAGAGAGGGCUGUCCGUUAUCUUUCACUGAUAUAACAAGGUUCUGCUUCAUACUGUCAGAUUCAGAAAUGUCCCGCUGGGCCCUGAUCUCUCCACUGUGGAGACCAACAGUGAAAAGUCCCGGAUCAGUCGAUUUCACGAUGUGAUAUGAAAGCCACGCGUUUUGUCCAGAGUCGGCAUCCACAGCUAUCACCUUGGAAACCAGGGACCCCGCCAGAGCAGCUUUGGGGACCAUCUCAGUCAUUAAGGAGUUCCCUGCUGGAGCAGGGUAUAAUAUCUGGGGAGAGUUAUCAUUCUCAUCUGUUAUGAAGACACUCACAGUCACGCUACUGCUGAGUGGAGGAGAACCAUUGUCCCUGGCUACAACGUGGACUUUGAAGCUCCUAAAUUGCUCAUAAUCAAAUGUUCUCACAGCAUGGAUCACCCCCGUGUCUCCGUUAAUGGAUAAAAAUGAGGACACCGGAACACCGUUGACAUCACUGGGCAACAGAGAAUAGACCACCGUGCCGUUCUGUCUCCAGUCUGGGUCUAUGGCAGUAACAGAACACACAGAUGAGCCAGGCGUGUUAUUUUCAGUCACAUAGGCGCUGUAGGAUUGCUCCUCAAACACUGGUGGGUUGUCAUUCACGUCUGACACAGAUAAAUGAAUAGUCUUCGAGGAGGAUAACGGUGGAGACCCCUCGUCAGUGGCAGUGAUAGUUAUGUUAUAAUCUGAAAUGUUCUCUCGGUCUAAUUCACUCGUUGUUACCAGAGAAUAAUAGUUUUUGAUUGAGGGGUUUAGUUUGAAAGGAACAUUUUGCUGAAUGGAGCAGCGGACCUGUCUAUUUCCCCCAGAGUCCUUAUCCAAUACAUUAAUGAUGCCCACCUCUCUGCCAGGUAACAUGUUCUCUGGGAUGGGAUUGGUCAAGGAUGUAAGAGAUAUCACUGGGGCGUUGUCAUUAACAUCUGUAAUUUCUAUGAAUAUUUUGGCAAAGGAAGUCAAUCCCGAGCCAUCUUUGGCUUUGAUCCGCAAUUCAUGAAUGGAUUCUUCUUCAAAAUCCAUCUGUCCUGCUAUCCUGAUGUCUCCCGUUUUAGGGUCAAGAGAAAAUAUUUUAUUUAAUUCUUCUGAGAUUGGUCCAAAUCCGUACGUCACUUCUCCAUUUGCCCCCUCGUCUGCAUCGAUGGCUGUUACAGUAACAACUAAUGAACCUAAUGGAGCAUUUUCUGGUACACUGACCUUAUAGGCAUUUUCGCUAAACACUGGUGUAUUAUCGUUAGCAUCCAACACAUUGACGUGUAUGACUACAGUACCAGAUCUCUGUGGAGUCCCACCGUCAACCGCAGUAAGUAUUAAUGUCACCUCCUGCUUUUGUUCUCGAUCUAACUCUGUGUCUAACACGAGCUCAC
Oncorhynchus tshawytscha (Chinook salmon) is the source of this 1777-nucleotide long non-coding RNA. NCBI's taxonomy places the organism in Eukaryota, Metazoa, Chordata, Actinopteri, Salmoniformes, Salmonidae. The record is from Ensembl.